UACGGGGGGGGCAAGCGUUGUUCGGAAUUACUGGGCGUAAAGGGCUCGUAGGCGGCCAACUAAGUCGGACGUGAAAUCCCUCGGCUUAACCGGGGAACUGCGUCCGAUACUGGAUGGCUCGAGUGUGGGAGAGGGAUGCGGAAUUCCAGGUGUAGCGGUGAAAUGCGCAGAUAUCGGGAGGAACACCAAUGGCGAAGGCAGCUCGCUGGGACGGUACUGACGCUGAGGCACGAAGGCCAGGGGAGCAAACGGG
RNAcentral lists this ribosomal RNA (253 nucleotides) under uncultured bacterium. Its description in RNAcentral is "partial 16S ribosomal RNA". It matches the Rfam family "Bacterial small subunit ribosomal RNA", at positions 524 to 776 of the family's 1533-position model. The record is from RNAcentral.